UGUAAAUUCGUUCAUGAGUCCUACAGAGC
Molecule: small RNA, 29 nt
Filed under: Bombyx mori (domestic silkworm)
Lineage: Eukaryota; Metazoa; Arthropoda; Insecta; Lepidoptera; Bombycidae
Description: ovarian small RNA-3854
Source: RNAcentral